AGUCCUGGUCUUGGAAGCCACAGCCUUCACUUCCUCUCUAUUCUGUUCAUUUGAGUGAGGUGCUGAGUCCUGCCCACACUCAGCGUUUGGGGUUGAUUCAGGAAGAAAAAGAAAAUACAGAGCAGCGGGCAGAGGAGAUUGAAAGUCGAGUUGGCAGUGGAAGUCUAGACAAUCUUGGUCGUUUUAGAUCAAUGAGCUCCAUUCCCCCCUACCCUGCUUCCUCGCUUGCUAGCUCCUCCCCUCCGGGCAGUGGGCGCUCCACCCCACGAAGGAUCCCUCACAGCCCAGCUCGGGAAGUGGACAGACUGGGCGUCAUGACCCUUUUGCCACCUUCCAGAGAAGAGGUACGAGAUGACAAGACAACCAUAAAGUGUGAAACCUCCCCGCCUUCCUCCCCGAGAGCCCUUCGGUUAGACCGGCUGCACAAAGGGGCGCUGCACACCGUCAGCCACGAGGACAUCAGGGACAUAAGGAACUCCACAGGCUCCCAGGAUGGUCCCGUGAGCAACCCCAGCAGUAGCAACAGUAGCCAGGACUCGCUCCACAAAGCCCCAAAGAAGAAAGGCAUUAAGU
This 573-nucleotide unclassified non-coding RNA is filed under the name Homo sapiens (human). Its description in RNAcentral is "PPFI scaffold protein A1 (ENSG00000288198.2)". The record is from RNAcentral. Lineage: Eukaryota; Metazoa; Chordata; Mammalia; Primates; Hominidae.